Molecule: long non-coding RNA, 874 nt
Organism: Humulus lupulus (European hop)
Lineage: Eukaryota; Viridiplantae; Streptophyta; Magnoliopsida; Rosales; Cannabaceae
Exons: 2
Source: RefSeq, a predicted model, not a curated record
UAUAUGAAUUGUCACUCUAGGUUUUUGGAUAGAAGAGUAGCAAUAUAGUUGCAUUACAUGUAAAUAUUAAUAAUUUUUUCUAGGGAAGUAAAUAUUAAUAAGUUAAAUAAUAGUAAAAAAAAAAGAAGAAGAACAAAGUAAAGAAGUGAAAUAACGAACCCUACAAACUCUUUUGUCUUUUGUACGGUAACAAAGCAAAACAUCCAUCGGUGAAGCAGUGAGAUUGGAAAGGAGUAGCGAAAACUGAAAGCAAUGUCGGAUUCUCGUGAAGUGGGGAAGGAGAACGCUAACUUCCGGGACAACCACCGCCGGAUUCUUGCGGCGCAGUACGAGCUGCGGCGGAGGCUCUACAAAGCCAUCUCCAACGAUCCCAGCCUUCCCGAUGAGGUCCGUGAGGAGAAUCGCUACAAGCUCGCUAAGCUUCCCAGAAACAGCUCCUUCACUCGAAUCAGAAACCGCUGCGUCUUCACAGGUCGCGCUCGCGGUGUCUACGCGGCCUUCCGCAUGUCUCGUCUCGUUUUUCGUGAGUUGGCCUCCAAGGGCAUGUUGAAUGGGAUCAAGAAGGCCUCCUGGUAGAUUAGCUGUCUAUGGCGCCCGCGCCCAAACAGGAUUUCAUCUCCUUUGCCGAUGAUACUCUUAUUACAACGAACAAUUCUUGUGAUAAAUUUUGGUCAGAAUUCUUCUUCUCAAAUGAAAACAGAAUGGAAACACCUUUUUAAUCAUUGCGGUGUUCAGCUAUGAAUAACCCAUCUUAUUUAAAAAUUUUGGAAUAAUUAAUUUCACUGCCGUUUGUUGUAGUUAGGAGAUAUUUUUCAUUGGGCUACUUCUUAUUUAUUGCAUAAUACAAGGUAAACAAACCAUUUCACAGUGAACA